Molecule: ribosomal RNA, 521 nt
Filed under: uncultured Glomus
Lineage: Eukaryota; Fungi; Glomeromycota; Glomeromycetes; Glomerales; Glomeraceae
Description: SSU rRNA
Rfam family: Eukaryotic small subunit ribosomal RNA
Source: RNAcentral
AGCAGCCGCGGUAAUUCCAGCUCCAAUAGCGUAUAUUAAAGUUGUUGCAGUUAAAAAGCUCGUAGUUGAAUUUCGAGACCGGUUUAUUGGUCGUGCUUUUGUACGUACUGGUAUUAUUGGUUUCUCCUUUCUGACGAAUCUUAAUGCCAUUAAUUUGGUGUUUUGGGGAAUCAGGACUGUUACUUUGAAAAAAUUAGAGUGUUUAAAGCAGGCUCACGCUUGAAUACAUUAGCAUGGAAUAACGGAAUAGGACGUUUGAUUCUAUUUUGUUGGUUUCUAGGAUCGACGUAAUGAUUAAUAGGGAUAGUUGGGGGCAUUAGUAUUCAAUUGUCAGAGGUGAAAUUCUUGGAUUUAUUGAAGACUAACUACUGCGAAAGCAUUUGCCAAGGAUGUUUUCAUUAAUCAAGAACGAAAGUUAGGGGAUCGAAGACGAUCAGAUACCGUCGUAGUCUUAACCAUAAACUAUGCCGACUAGGGAUCGGAUGACGUUAAUUUUUUAAUGACUCAUUCGGCGCCUUACG